Molecule: ribosomal RNA, 534 nt
Filed under: Tricholoma matsutake
Lineage: Eukaryota; Fungi; Basidiomycota; Agaricomycetes; Agaricales; Tricholomataceae
Description: eukaryotic LSU rRNA
Rfam family: 5.8S ribosomal RNA (bases 180-333)
Source: RNAcentral
CACCACCUGUGCACAUUUUGUAGGCUUGGAUAAAUAUGUCUCGAGGAAGCUCGGUUUGAGGACUGCCGUGCUGCAAAAGCCAGGCUUUCCUUGUAUUUUUCCAGCCUAUGCAUUUUAUUAUACACUCGGUAUGUCAUGGAAUGUUAUUUGGUUGGCUUAAUUGCCAGUAAACCUUAUACAACUUUCAACAACGGAUCUCUUGGCUCUCGCAUCGAUGAAGAACGCAGCGAAAUGCGAUAAGUAAUGUGAAUUGCAGAAUUCAGUGAAUCAUCGAAUCUUUGAACGCACCUUGCGCUCCUUGGUAUUCCGAGGAGCAUGCCUGUUUGAGUGUCAUGAAAUUCUCAACCUUUUCAGCUUUUUGUUGAAUAGGCUUGGAUUUUGGGAGUUGUUGCAGGCUGCUCAGAAGUCUGCUCUCCUUAAAUGUAUUAGCGGGGCCCUUGUUGUCUAGCAUUUGGUGUGAUAAUUAUCUACGCCAUUGUGAACAAUGUAAUAGGUCGGCUUCUAAUCGUCUCGUAAAGAGACAAUCUCUGACAU